RNAcentral lists this ribosomal RNA (267 nucleotides) under uncultured bacterium. RNAcentral describes it as "partial 16S ribosomal RNA". It matches the Rfam family "Bacterial small subunit ribosomal RNA", at positions 793 to 1055 of the family's 1533-position model. The record is from RNAcentral.
GUCCACGCUGUAAACGAUGAGCACUAGGUGUGGGGGUUCAGUCCCUUCCGUGCCGCAGCUAACGCAUUAAGUGCUCCGCCUGGGGAGUACGGCCGCAAGGUUGAAACUCAAAGGAAUUGACGGGGGCCCGCACAAGCGGUGGAGCAUGUGGUUCAAUUCGAUGCAGAGCGAAGAACCUUACCUGGGCUUGACAUGUAGGAAGUAGAAACCGGAAACGGGGACGACCUGUUAAGUCAGGAGCCUACACAGGUGGUGCAUGGCUGUCGU